CAACAUAUCUGAUGCACCCCCAUUAUACUUUCGAGAUAGCUAUGAGAUCUCUUCUCAUGGAGCUAAGAGACGAGAAGACAACCAAUCAUUUAAUGUUUUAGAGGUAUGAAAAUUAAAAUUUUUUAUUUUAUUUCCUUAUAAAAUUAUGAUUGUUAUUAUGAUGUUUAACUAUUUUAUUUUAUUAUCAUAUCUAAUAUAUCUUUAUUUGUAACUUAUGUAGGAAAUUGAUCAAUUUGAUACUUUUGAAUUUGCCUCUAAUACAUCAAAAAGUUAAUUAA
Molecule: long non-coding RNA, 278 nt
Filed under: Coffea arabica (coffee)
Lineage: Eukaryota; Viridiplantae; Streptophyta; Magnoliopsida; Gentianales; Rubiaceae
Description: long non-coding RNA (CARA_LNC001413)
Source: RNAcentral